This 497-nucleotide ribosomal RNA is filed under the name uncultured bacterium. RNAcentral describes it as "partial 16S ribosomal RNA". It matches the Rfam family "Bacterial small subunit ribosomal RNA", at positions 28 to 507 of the family's 1533-position model. The record is from RNAcentral.
GAUGAACGCUGGCGGCGUGCCUAAUACAUGCCAGUCGAGCGAACGGACGAGAAGCUUGCUUCUCUGAUGUUAGCGGCGGACGGGUGAGUAACACGUGGAUAACCUACCUAUAAGACUGGGAUAACUUCGGGAAACCGGAGCUAAUACCGGAUAAUAUUUUGAACCGCAUGGUUCAAAAGCGAAAGACGGUCUUGCUGUCACUUAUAGAUGGAUCCGCGCUGCAUUAGCUAGUUGGUAAGGUAACGGCUUACCAAGGCAACGAUGCAUAGCCGACCUGAGAGGGUGAUCGGCCACACUGGAACUGAGACACGGUCCAGACUCCUACGGGAGGCAGCAGUAGGGAAUCUUCCGCAAUGGGCGAAAGCCUGACGGAGCAACGCCGCGUGAGUGAUGAAGGUCUUCGGAUCGUAAAACUCUGUUAUUAGGGAAGAACAUAUGUGUAAGCAACUGUGCACAUCUUGACGGUACCUAAUCAGAAAGCCACGGCUAACUACGUG